GGGGAAUAUUGCACAAUGGGCGAAAGCCUGAUGCAGCAACGCCGCGUGAGGGACGACGGCCUUCGGGUUGUAAACCUCUUUUAGCAGGAAAGAAGCGAAAGUGACGGUACCUGCAGAAAAAGCGCCGGCUAACUACGUGCCAGCAGCCGCGGUAAUACGUAGGGCGCAAGCGUUAUCCGGAAUUAUUGGGCGUAAAGAGCUCGUAGGCGGUCUGUCGCGUCUGCUGUGAAAACCCGAGGCUCAACCUCGGGCCUGCAGUGGGUACGGGCAGACUAGAGUGCGGUAGGGGAGAUUGGAAUUCCUGGUGUAGCGGUGGAAUGCGCAGAUAUCAGGAGGAACACCGAUGGCGAAGGCAGAUCUCUGGGCCGUAACUGACGCUGAGGAGCGAAAGGGUGGGGAGCAAACA
RNAcentral lists this ribosomal RNA (406 nucleotides) under uncultured Microbacterium sp. RNAcentral describes it as "bacterial SSU rRNA". It matches the Rfam family "Bacterial small subunit ribosomal RNA", at positions 356 to 774 of the family's 1533-position model. The record is from RNAcentral. Lineage: Bacteria; Bacillati; Actinomycetota; Actinomycetes; Micrococcales; Microbacteriaceae.